GGAAAGGUGUCCGAGUCCGGCUUAAGGGGCACGCCUGGAAAGCGUGUGUGGGGCAACUCACCGAGGGUUCGAAUCCCUCCCUUUCCG
RNAcentral lists this transfer RNA (87 nucleotides) under Mucispirillum sp. Its description in RNAcentral is "tRNA-Ser". It matches the Rfam family "tRNA". From Rfam's summary of the family: Transfer RNA (tRNA) molecules are approximately 80 nucleotides in length. Their secondary structure includes four short double-helical elements and three loops (D, anti-codon, and T loops). The record is from RNAcentral. Lineage: Bacteria; Pseudomonadati; Deferribacterota; Deferribacteres; Deferribacterales; Mucispirillaceae.